UCCUUUAUAGCUCAGUGGUCAGAGCAGACGGCUGUUAACCGUAAGGUCAUAGGUUCAAAUCCUAUUAAAGGAG
RNAcentral lists this transfer RNA (73 nucleotides) under Reclinomonas americana. RNAcentral's name for it is "tRNA-Asn". It matches the Rfam family "tRNA". From Rfam's summary of the family: Transfer RNA (tRNA) molecules are approximately 80 nucleotides in length. Their secondary structure includes four short double-helical elements and three loops (D, anti-codon, and T loops). Further hydrogen bonds mediate the characteristic L-shaped molecular structure. tRNAs have two regions of fundamental functional importance: the anti-codon, which is responsible for specific mRNA codon recognition, and the 3' end, to which the tRNAs corresponding amino acid is attached (by aminoacyl-tRNA synthetases). tRNAs cope with the degeneracy of the genetic code in two manners: having more than one tRNA (with a specific anti-codon) for a particular amino acid; and 'wobble' base-pairing, i.e. permitting non-standard base-pairing at the 3rd anti-codon position. The record is from RNAcentral. Lineage: Eukaryota; Jakobea; Jakobida; Histionidae.